This 500-nucleotide ribosomal RNA is filed under the name uncultured bacterium. RNAcentral describes it as "partial 16S ribosomal RNA". It matches the Rfam family "Bacterial small subunit ribosomal RNA", at positions 30 to 523 of the family's 1533-position model. The record is from RNAcentral.
AUUGAACGCUGGCGGCAUGCCUUACACAUGCAAGUCGAACGGCAGCGCGGACUUCGGUCUGGCGGCGAGUGGCGAACGGGUGAGUAAUACAUCGGAACGUACCCUGUUGUGGGGGAUAACUAGUCGAAAGAUUAGCUAAUACCGCAUACGACCUGAGGGUGAAAGUGGGGGACCGCAAGGCCUCACGCAGCAGGAGCGGCCGAUGUCUGAUUAGCUAGUUGGUGGGGUAAAGGCCCACCAAGGCGACGAUCAGUAGCUGGUCUGAGAGGACGAUCAGCCACACUGGGACUGAGAAACGGCCCAGACUCCUACGGGAGGCAGCAGUGGGGAAUUUUGGACAAUGGGGGCAACCCUGAUCCAGCAAUGCCACGUGUGUGAAGAAGGCCUUCGGGUUGUAAAGCACUUUUGUCCGGAAAGAAAUGGCUCUGGUUAAUACCUGGGGUCGAUGACGGUACCGGAAGAAUAAGGACCGGCUAACUACGUGCCAGCCGCCGCCGUAA